Molecule: ribosomal RNA, 253 nt
Filed under: uncultured bacterium
Lineage: Bacteria
Description: partial 16S ribosomal RNA
Rfam family: Bacterial small subunit ribosomal RNA
Source: RNAcentral
UACGUAGGUGGCAAGCGUUGUCCGGAUUUACUGGGCGUAAAGAGCGCGCAGGCGGCUGGUCAAGUCCGAUGUGAAAUCUCCCGGCUCAACUGGGAAACUGCAUCGGAAACUGAUCGGCUUGAAGGUGGGAGAGGGUAGUGGAAUUCCCGGUGUAGUGGUGAAAUGCGUAGAUAUCGGAAGGAACAUCAGUGGCGAAAGCGACUUCCUGGACCAAUACUGACGCUCAUGUGCGAAAGCGUGGGGAGCAAACAGG